GAUGAACGCUAGCUACAGGCUUAACACAUGCAAGUCGAGGGGUAACGAGAGGGAAGCUUGCUUUCCUUGUCGACGACCGGCGCACGGGUGAGUAACGCGUAUCCAACCUGCCCCCAACUAGGGAAUAACCUUGCGAAAGUAAGACUAAUACCCUAUAAUUUCCUCAGAUGUCAUCUGACGAGGAAUAAAGAUUUAUCGGUUGUGGAUGGGGAUGCGUCUGAUUAGCUUGUUGGCGGGGUAACGGCCCACCAAGGCAACGAUCAGUAGGUGUUCUGAGAGGAAGGUACCCCACAUUGGAACUGAGACACGGUCCAAACUCCUACGGGAGGCAGCAGUGAGGAAUAUUGGUCAAUGGGCGGAAGCCUGAACCAGCCAAGUAGCGUGCAGGAUGACGGCCCUAUGGGUUGUAAACUGCUUUUAUACAGGGAUAAAGUUAGCCACGUGUGGUUAUUUGUAGGUACUGUAUGAAUAAGGACCGGCUAAUUCCGUGCCAGCCGCCGCGGUAA
RNAcentral lists this ribosomal RNA (506 nucleotides) under uncultured bacterium. RNAcentral's name for it is "partial 16S ribosomal RNA". It matches the Rfam family "Bacterial small subunit ribosomal RNA", at positions 28 to 523 of the family's 1533-position model. The record is from RNAcentral.